CCUACGGGAGGCAGCAGUGGGGGAUAUUGCACAAUGGGGGAAACCCUGAUGCAGCGACGCCGCGUGUGGGAAGACGGUCCUCUGGAUUGUAAACCACUGUCCCCAGGGACGAAGAUGACGGUACCUGGGGAGGAAGCUCCGGCUAACUACGUGCCAGCAGCCGCGGUAAUACGUAGGGAGCGAGCGUUGUCCGGAUUUACUGGGUGAAAAGGGAGCGUAGGCGGGACUGCAAGUUGGGUGUCAAAUCUACCGGCUCAACCGGUAGCCGCACUCAAAACUGCAGUUCUUGAGUGAGGUAGAGGCAGGCGGAAUUCCUGGUGUAGCGGUGAAAUGCGUAGAUAUUAGGAGGAACACCAGUGGCGAAGGCGGCCUGCUGGGCUUUUACUGACGCUGAGGCUCGAAAGUGUGGGGAGCAAACAGGAUUAGAUACCCUUGUAGUC
Molecule: ribosomal RNA, 440 nt
Filed under: uncultured bacterium
Lineage: Bacteria
Description: partial 16S ribosomal RNA
Rfam family: Bacterial small subunit ribosomal RNA
Source: RNAcentral